ACAUGCUCUGAUUCACAAUUUAAAAAGAUCCCUCUAGCUGGAGCAUAAAUCCUGAAACAGACCUACUUUUCUCUUCAGCAUGUUAGGAAACACAUUAAAAUACAACCAUAAUCAAGCAACUCAAUCCUUAAAUUUUUCUCCUAGUGAGUAUCUGGAAAACAGGUGCAGAAAUGGAUCAUUUGAGACACCAUAGAAAUCUGGUUAAUCCUGCCUGCCUGCUUUCCUU
Molecule: unclassified non-coding RNA, 226 nt
Organism: Aotus nancymaae (Ma's night monkey)
Lineage: Eukaryota; Metazoa; Chordata; Mammalia; Primates; Aotidae
Source: Ensembl